Molecule: signal recognition particle RNA, 100 nt
Filed under: Nitrospinota bacterium
Lineage: Bacteria; Pseudomonadati; Nitrospinota
Description: signal recognition particle sRNA small type
Rfam family: Bacterial small signal recognition particle RNA
About the family: The signal recognition particle (SRP) is a universally conserved ribonucleoprotein involved in the co-translational targeting of proteins to membranes. Archaeal SRP consists of a 7S RNA and homologues of the eukaryotic SRP19 and SRP54 proteins. In most bacteria, the SRP consists of a 4.5S RNA and the Ffh protein (a homologue of the eukaryotic SRP54 protein).
Source: RNAcentral
AGCCGGGUCUCGUGCGGCGGGAGCUUGCGAACUCCGUCAGGUCCGGAAGGAAGCAGCGGUAAGCAAACACUCCCGGGUGCCACGAGGGCGCCUGACCCUG